UUUAUAGUUUUAACUAAAUAUAUACUGUGUACUGUGUUCUAACUUCUAAGACUUUAUUAUUUGUUAUUAUAAUUAUUAUUACUAGACAAUUGAAAAUGUGUUUACUGUGUAGUAUGAAAUUAUUGCACACUAAAUUUAUACAUAAAUUUGAUGUGAACUUUUACUUGACAAUGACUCAGAUGACGAGUUUAUUUAUGAAAUCGAAGAAUACGAUGAAGAAACUUACGAAGAGCUGAUCGAGACAGAAGCAGAUACAGUAUCUACUACAAGUACACAACCCAGAACUCUUAGUACACAACCUUCAAACCAGCGUAGACCAGUCCAACCGGAACAAAUAAAUCCAAAAUGAAAAAAACAAGGAGUGUUUAGACCUAAGGUCCAUAAUUUUGAUUCAUCCAAGUCAUUGAUUAUUUUUUUAGAGUGGAAUUCAAAAAGCAGAAUUUGAGCUAAACGAUGAAUCUACUGUUUUGGAUUUUUUUGAAGCUUUUGUAACUCCAAAUUUGUUGGGAAAAAUUGCUUUUGAAACAAAUCAGUAUUGCCAUAAAUAUAAUAUUUAAACACCUCAUUCCAGAGUUACACGUUGGACAGAUACUACAUUUGGAGAGGUUUAUGUGUUUUUGGCUUUAACCAUGCUAAUGGCACAAAAUAAAAAAUAAGAAAUAUCUGAUUAUUGGUCAACUGAUCCACUUCUCCAUUAAUCCAUAUUUGGUCAACAUAUGAAUCGUGACCGUUAUUUACUAUUACUUAGAAUGCUCCACUUUAGCAACAAUGAUGACCAAAUACCCGGAGAUCAACUAUUUAAGAUUCGAAUGCCAUUACAGGAAAUAACUAAAAAUUUCAAAGAUGCCAUGAUCCCGUUUGAAAGUUUAGCAAUCGAUGAAAGUCUAGUACUGUGGGCUGUCUAUCAUUUACACAAUUUAUUAAAACAAAGCGACACCGCUUUGGGAUCAAAAUUUUUGUUAUUUGUGAUGUGGAAACCGAUUUUAUGCUUGACAUACUUAUAUACACUGGAAGCACUACUAAAUAUAAAAAAACCGAUCCAAACCUUGGUAAUUGUUAAGAAAAAGUUAUGAAUCAAACAUGUAUACUGUAUACAAAAAAAUA
Molecule: long non-coding RNA, 1104 nt
Organism: Adelges cooleyi (spruce gall adelgid)
Lineage: Eukaryota; Metazoa; Arthropoda; Insecta; Hemiptera; Adelgidae
Exons: 4
Source: RefSeq, a predicted model, not a curated record